RNAcentral lists this unclassified non-coding RNA (318 nucleotides) under plant metagenome. Its description in RNAcentral is "partial contains 5.8S ribosomal RNA, internal transcribed spacer 2, and large subunit ribosomal RNA". The stretch from base 1 to 105 matches the Rfam family "5.8S ribosomal RNA", at positions 50 to 154 of the family's 154-position model. The record is from RNAcentral.
GAAAUGCGAUAAGUAAUGUGAAUUGCAGAAUUCAGUGAAUCAUCGAAUCUUUGAACGCACAUUGCGCCCGCUAGAAUUCUGGCGGGCAUGCCUGUUCGAGCGUCAUUUCAACCCUCGAGCUCCCCUUUCGGGGGGAGCCCGGCGUUGGGGACCCGGCGCUAACAACGCCGGCCCCGAAAUGGAGUGGCGGCCCGUCCGCGGCGACCUCUGCGUAGUAACAACCACUCGCACCGGGACCCGGGCGCGGCCACGCCGUAAAACACCCCACCUUCCGAAUGUUGACCUCGAAUCAGGUAGGAAUACCCGCUGAACUUAAGC